UACGUAGGGUGCAAGCGUUGUCCGGAAUUAUUGGGCGUAAAGAGCUCGUAGGCGGUUCGUCGCGUCGGCUGUGAAAUCCCGAGGCUCAACCUCGGGUCUGCAGUCGAUACGGGCGGACUGGAGUUCGGCAGGGGAGACUGGAAUUCCUGGUGUAGCGGUGAAAUGCGCAGAUAUCAGGAGGAACACCGAUGGCGAAGGCAGGUCACUGGGCCGCAACUGACGCUGAGGAGCGAAAGCAUGGGGAGCGAACAGG
Molecule: ribosomal RNA, 253 nt
Filed under: uncultured bacterium
Lineage: Bacteria
Description: partial 16S ribosomal RNA
Rfam family: Bacterial small subunit ribosomal RNA
Source: RNAcentral